AGCCAUGCGAGUCGAGAGGUGCAAGACCUCGGCAUACUGCUCAGUAACACGUGGACAAUCUAACCUAAGGAAGAGGAUAACCCCGGGAAACUGGGGAUAAUACUCUAUAGACUAUGGAUGCUGGAAUGCUUUGUAGUCGAAAGGUGAGCCGCCUUAGGAUGGGUCUGCGGCCGAUUAGGUUGUUGUUGGGGUAACGGCCCAACAAGCCUGUAAUCGGUACGGGUUGUGGGAGCAAGAGCCCGGAGAUGGAUUCUGAGACACGAAUCCAGGCCCUACGGGGCGCAGCAGGCGCGAAAACUUUACAAUGCGGGAAACCGUGAUAAGGGAACUCCGAGUGCCCGUAAAAUCGGGCUGUCCAUUUGUUUAAAAAACAAGUGAAGAAAGGGCCGGGCAAGACCGGUGCCAGCCGCCGCGGUAAUACCGGCGGCUCGAGUGGUGGCCACUAUUACUGGGCUUAAAGCGUUCGUAGCUGGUUUGUUAAGUCUCUGGGGAAAUCUUCCGGCUUAACCGGAAGGCGUCUCAGGGAUACUGGCAGACUAGGGACCGGGAGAGGUGAGGGGUACUCCAGGGGUAGGAGUGAAAUCCUGUAAUCCUUGGGGGACCACCUGUGGCGAAGGCGCCUCACCAGAACGGCUCCGACAGUGAGGGACGAAAGCUGGGGGAGCAAACCGGAUUAGAUACCCGGGUAGUCUCAGCUGUAAACGAUGUGCGUUAGGUGUAUCGGUGACCACGAGUCACCGAGGUGCCGAAGAGAAAUCGUGAAACGUACCGCCUGGGAAGUACGGUCGCAAGGCUGAAACUUAAAGGAAUUGGCGGGGGAGCACCACAACGGGUGGAGCCUGCGGUUUAAUUGGACUCAACGCCGGGAAG
This 870-nucleotide ribosomal RNA is filed under the name uncultured archaeon. RNAcentral's name for it is "bacterial SSU rRNA". It matches the Rfam family "Archaeal small subunit ribosomal RNA", at positions 47 to 925 of the family's 1478-position model. The record is from RNAcentral.